AGAUGCUAUUUUAGUUACGUUUAUUGGUGAAGGUACCAGUAUAUUUUCCGGCUUCGUCACAUUCACAAUCCUCGGAGCGAUAGCCCACCGCCAGUGGGUGCACGUGUCGGAGGUAGUCUCAUCUGGGUGGAAUCUACAUAUUCCAACUGGCUGACUGGUACGUAGCGGCUCUUGUGCUCGCCGUAGGAAUCAUAGAAUGCAUCAUCGUGACCUGGAUAUAUGGAUUCAAUCGACUAUAUGAAGAUCUGGAACUCAUGAUAGGAAGAAAGGUUCCCGUCUUCUUCAAAGUCGUUCUAACAUUCGUCACUCCACUGGUAUUGUUGCGAAUAGCCAAGACGAUUUCUCCAUCAAAAAACAGGGUUCCGAACACGUGUUUAUCUCGAGCGAAGUACAGACAGAAACAAAAGAACUCGUUUAGAGAAAAUAUAUGUCACUUGUGCACUCGAUAAGCAAGAUGUUUUGAGUCUUGGUGUUACCUCCUCGUUAUUCAAAGUGACAAACUUUAAUUUUAAAGUGACAAACUCUAGUUUAUAAACACUGUGGCAUAUUUUUCACUAUUAGAGUUGUUUAUGAUAUCUGAAAUCGAACACGACUUAUACUGUCUUGUUUAGAUUCUCCAUGUUCGUACAGCCGAAGUGUUUCUGAUUAUCCUAGUGUGUCUAAUACCACAGAAUGCAUUGUUUAUAUUGGGGGGAAAAACCUAAAAAAACCAAACAACCGCACGUGCGUAUGAGAAGUAACUGUUAUAUAGGCGAGUUCUUCUCUAUGUUAGCUAUAUUUCCCUGUUUCAACGUCACAGUCUCGUUUCAAUCUGCUAUAAUAUUAUCCAAAUCCACCAACACUGUUUACUAGUUCUGAUACACGUGUUAUCGCUAUCAACAUUACAAAAUAUAUUAUCAUGAGUUGCCUUCCUACAGCCAAUGCACCAAGACUGGCAUAUCAAAGGUAUGUGUUUUCCUGUCUGUGGGAUGGUGCAUAUAAAAGACCCCUUGGUACUAUGGG
Molecule: unclassified non-coding RNA, 1002 nt
Filed under: Gigantopelta aegis
Lineage: Eukaryota; Metazoa; Mollusca; Gastropoda; Neomphalida; Peltospiridae
Description: sodium- and chloride-dependent glycine transporter 2- like, transcript variant X1
Source: RNAcentral